This 253-nucleotide ribosomal RNA is filed under the name uncultured bacterium. Its description in RNAcentral is "partial 16S ribosomal RNA". It matches the Rfam family "Bacterial small subunit ribosomal RNA", at positions 524 to 776 of the family's 1533-position model. The record is from RNAcentral.
UACGGAGGGUGCAAGCGUUGUUCGGAUUUACUGGGCGUAAAGCGCGCGCAGGUGGGUGUGCAAGUCGGAAGUGAAAUCUUGAGGCUCAACCUCGAGGCUGCACCCGAAACUGCACGCCUAGGGACUGGUAGAGGCUGGUAGAAUUCCCGGUGUAGCGGUGGAAUGCGUAGAGAUCGGGAAGAAUACCAGUGGCGAAGGCGGCCAGCUGGGCCAGGUCCGACACUGAGGCGCGAAAGCGUGGGGAGCAAACAGG